RNAcentral lists this ribosomal RNA (303 nucleotides) under uncultured bacterium. Its description in RNAcentral is "partial 16S ribosomal RNA". It matches the Rfam family "Bacterial small subunit ribosomal RNA", at positions 507 to 807 of the family's 1533-position model. The record is from RNAcentral.
AGCAGUCGCCGCGGUAACACGGAGGGGGCUAGCGUUGUUCGGAAUUACUGGGCGUAAAGCGCACGUAGGCGGCUUGGUAAGUUAGAGGUGAAAGCCUGGAGCCCAACUCCAGAAUUGCCUUUAAGACUGCCGAGCUAGCAGGUGAGAGAGGUAAGUGGGAUUCCGAGUGUAGAGGUGAAAUUCGUAGAUAUUCGGAAGAACACCAGUGGCGAAGGCGGCUUACUGGCUCAUACUGGACGCUGAGGUGCGAAAGCGUGGGGAGCAAACAGGAUUAGAUACCCCCGUAGUCCCUGUCUCUUAUAC